GAACCACCUGAUCCCUUGCCGAACUCAGUAGUGAAACCGCUCAGCGCCGAUGGUAGUGUGGGGCCUCCCCAUGCGAGAGUAGGUCAUCGUCAGGC
This 95-nucleotide ribosomal RNA is filed under the name Halomonas llamarensis. The record is from RNAcentral. Lineage: Bacteria; Pseudomonadati; Pseudomonadota; Gammaproteobacteria; Oceanospirillales; Halomonadaceae.